Molecule: long non-coding RNA, 590 nt
Organism: Nothoprocta perdicaria
Lineage: Eukaryota; Metazoa; Chordata; Aves; Tinamiformes; Tinamidae
Exons: 3
Source: RefSeq, a predicted model, not a curated record
GAAAGGUGGUGUGUUAUCCAUAAUGUUUAAAUUGUUCUUUCAAARAAGUGGCAAUAUUUUGGAAGUUCAAAUAAGAAAGAAAAAUCGGAACAUUGGUGACAAACUUUCUGAUGAGUGAUAUGCAAAGUCCAAGGGAUGCUGCUGAAGAUACCAGUAUUUUUAGAGUGGUGCAUGACUUUUGUGGGCAAGAUGUGGACACUUAAGAAAAUACAUCUCUUCCACCUAUAUCUCUGAAUCUCAGUUGUGAGCAGACCAUGGAUAUCUGGCAACAGCUGUGUGUGGAGAACUUUGCUGAGGAGCUAGUCUGUUUUAUUUUUUCCAAAAAUAUUCUCUUGUUUUCCUUUGUUUUGUGGUGACUCAGUAGAUACAAAAUGACCCAGUCUGACUAUAGCCUGUUUAAACUAUAGGGUUAUUCUACCAGACUUGAAAUAAAGAAGCAGAAAUUAGUUAAGAACUUCUGUUACCCUUGUCGCUGUCUGUCAUUCUCUCUGGUAACUUUCAUUAGAAAUGUUCAUCCUGCAGAUGUUAAAAGUGUGGAUGUCAAAUCAUUAUCUACUUUUGCUGUUUUCUCCAGCCUUAUUACAAAAGCA